GACUCCUCAGCUAGGUAGACAACGAUUAGGGUGUGAACUCGCCGUGAGAACUCACCUGUACGUCUUGUGACGUCAGAACUAACAGGCGUCGGUUCCUGGAGAGUCCAAGAGCCUUGCAGAGACCUUCAUCAGAGACCUUAAAGACUGGGAAAAAGUCGCCAACCUCUCCCAAGACACUUCUGGAAAAGUUCAGGGUCAGACCAGGCAUGGACGGAAGAGAACAGGAGACAAUGGAGGAAGACGAGGAGUCCGGGUCAGAGGAUUCCGGGUCUGAAGAGUCGAGUUGGGAG
Branchiostoma belcheri (Belcher's lancelet) is the source of this 290-nucleotide long non-coding RNA. RefSeq lists it as uncharacterized. The record is from RefSeq and is a predicted model, not a curated record. Lineage: Eukaryota; Metazoa; Chordata; Leptocardii; Amphioxiformes; Branchiostomatidae. The transcript has 2 exons.